GAAUAUGGUGAUAUGCAGUUGAUUGCAGAGGCUUAUGACGUUCUGAAAUCUGUUGGGAAGCUCUCUAAUGAUGAAUUGCAUCAAGCCUUCUCAGAAUGGAACAACGGGGAGCUCCAGAGCUUCUUGAUUGAAAUUACAGCUGAUAUAUUUGGAAUCAAGGAUGACAAAGCGGAUGGACAUUUGGUAGACAAGGUUUUAGACAAAACUGGAAUGAAAGGUACUGGUAAAUGGACCGUUCAGCAAGCUGCUGAACUGUCAAUUGCUGCUCCUACAAUAGCCUCAUCCCUAGAUUCCAGAUUCCUUAGUGGAUUGAAGGAUGAAAGGGUGCAAGCAGCCAAAGUUUUCAAAUCUUGUGGGGUCAGCGACAUCCUUGUUGAACAGUCUGUGGAUAAGAAGCAAUUGAUUGACGAUGUCAGAAAAGCACUCUAUGCUUCGAAAAUAUGUAGCUAUGCUCAGGGAAUGAAUUUGAUAAGGGCAAAGAGU
This 483-nucleotide unclassified non-coding RNA is filed under the name Hevea brasiliensis (rubber tree). The record is from RNAcentral. Lineage: Eukaryota; Viridiplantae; Streptophyta; Magnoliopsida; Malpighiales; Euphorbiaceae.